RNAcentral lists this ribosomal RNA (468 nucleotides) under uncultured bacterium. RNAcentral's name for it is "partial 16S ribosomal RNA". It matches the Rfam family "Bacterial small subunit ribosomal RNA", at positions 28 to 507 of the family's 1533-position model. The record is from RNAcentral.
GACGAACGCUGGCGGCGUGCUUAACACAUGCAAGUCGAACGGAAAGGCCCUGCUUUUGUGGGGUGCUCGAGUGGCGAACGGGUGAGUAACACGUGAGUAACCUGCCCUUGACUUUGGGAUAACUUCAGGAAACUGGGGCUAAUACCGGAUAGGAGCUCCUGCUGCAUGGUGGGGGUUGGAAAGUUUCGGCGGUUGGGGACGGACUCGCGGCUUAUCAGCUUGUUGGUGGGGUAGUGGCUUACCAAGGCUUUGACGGGUAGCCGGCCUGAGAGGGUGACCGGCCACAUUGGGACUGAGAUACGGCCCAGACUCCUACGGGAGGCAGCAGUGGGGAAUAUUGCACAAUGGCCGGAAGCCUGAUGCAGCAACGCCGCGUGCGGGAUGACGGCCUUCGGGUUGUAAACCGCUUUCGCCUGUGACGAAGCGUGAGUGACGGUAAUGGGUAAAGAAGCACCGGCUAACUACGUG